CGCUGGGUGGCAGAGUAGUAAUGCAACGGUCUGCAAAACCGUUUUUCACCGGUUCGAAUCCGGUCCCAGCGUCCA
Molecule: transfer RNA, 75 nt
Filed under: Gammaproteobacteria bacterium
Lineage: Bacteria; Pseudomonadati; Pseudomonadota; Gammaproteobacteria
Description: tRNA-Cys
Rfam family: tRNA
About the family: Transfer RNA (tRNA) molecules are approximately 80 nucleotides in length. Their secondary structure includes four short double-helical elements and three loops (D, anti-codon, and T loops).
Source: RNAcentral